CGCCCCACAGCUAGCCCACAACAUUUAAUCAACAACCAAACAUAAAUAACCCUAAAAACCCCAAACAAAACAAACAAACCAUUUUCCCUUCCUAGUACGGGAGACAGAAAAGAGAAUCAGGAGCAAUAGAAACAGUACCGCAAGGGAAAGCUGAAAGAGAAAUGAAACAAACCAUUUUAAGCCCAAAAAAGCAGAGAUCCAAACUCGUACCUUUUGCAUCAUGACUUAGCCAGUACUAUUCGAGCACAGCGUCCUUUAGUUCGACACCCCGAAACUAGACGAGCUACUCCAAGGCAGCCUAUAACAGGGCAACCCCGUCUCUGUAGCAAAAGAGUGGGAAGAACUUUGAGUAGAGGUGACAGACCUAUCGAGUCUAGUUAUAGCUGGUUGCCUAAGAAAUGGAUAUGAGUUCAGCCCCCUGGACUCCCCGCCCCAACCCAGUCUUCACUCAAGCUGGAUUCAGGUCUUCAAGCCAGGGGUGUUAGUCAAAGGAGGUACAGCUCCUUUGAAACAAGACACAACUUUACCAGGAGGAUAAAGAUCACAAGUACUAAGGAAGAAUGCUCCAGUGGGCCUAAAAGCAGCCACCUGAACAGAAAGCGUUAAAGCUCAAGCAUCCGCCCACCCUCAAAUCCCGACUGACAUAUCUCAGCCCCCUAAUCCUACUAGGCCCUCCCAUGCCCCCAUGGAAGAGAUCCUGCUAAUAUGAGUAAUAAGAAAAUCCCAGAUUUUCUCCUUGCACAAGUGUAAGUCGGAACGGACCUUCCACCGACCCCUAACCGGCCCCAAUCAAAGAGGGGACUGAAUAAUAAAUAAAAUCCCAGAAAAAUAUUCAACCAUCAACCGUUAGCCCCACACUGGAGUGCCCACAAGGAAAGACUAAAAGAGAAAAAAGGAACUCGGCAAACAUAAGCCUCGCCUGUUUACCAAAAACAUCGCCUCUUGUAGACAAAAAAUAAGAGGUCCCGCCUGCCCUGUGACUAUGUGUUUAACGGCCGCGGUAUUUUGACCGUGCAAAGGUAGCGCAAUCACUUGUCUUUUAAAUGAAGACCCGUAUGAAUGGCUUGACGAGGGCUUAGCUGUCUCUUUUCUCCGGUCAAUGAAAUUGAUCUCCCCGUGCAGAAGCGGGGAUAAUCGCAUAAGACGAGAAGACCCUAUGGAGCUUUAGACACAAAGUAGCCCAAACUUCACCCCCAAAAUUAAAAUUGAGGGGACACAAUGGCCCCCUGCUCAAAUGUCUUUGGUUGGGGCGACCCUGGGGAAAAACACAACCCCCACAUGGAACAGAAGAACUUCUUCCACAACCAAGGGCCCCCGCUCUAAGUAACAGAACCUCUGACCAUCAAUGAUCCGGUAUAACCGAUCAACGGACCGAGUUACCCUAGGGAUAACAGCGCAAUCCCCUCCCAGAGCCCAUAUCGACGAGGGGGUUUACGACCUCGAUGUUGGAUCAGGAUAUCCUACUGGUGCAGCCGCUAUUAAGGGUUCGUUUGUUCAACGAUUAAAAUCCUACGUGAUCUGAGUUCAGACCGGAGUAAUCCAGGUCAGUUUCUAUCUAUGGUGUAAUCUCUUUCUAGUACGAAAGGACCGAAGAGAAAAGGCCCCUGCUAAAGGCAUACCUUUCCCCCACCUAAUGAAAGCAACUAAAUUAGGCAAGGGGGUACAUCCCUUAAGCCCAAAAAUAGGGCGU
RNAcentral lists this ribosomal RNA (1690 nucleotides) under Poromitra oscitans (yawning). Its description in RNAcentral is "16S rRNA". It matches the Rfam family "Bacterial large subunit ribosomal RNA". Lineage: Eukaryota; Metazoa; Chordata; Actinopteri; Beryciformes; Melamphaidae. The record is from RNAcentral.